CCUACGGGGGGCAGCAGUGAGGAAUAUUGGUCAAUGGGAGAGAUCCUGAACCAGCCAAGCCGCGUGAGGGAAGACGGCCCUAUGGGUUGUAAACCUCUUUUGUCGGAGAACAAAACACGGGACGUGUCCCGGACUGCGUGUAUCCGAAGAGAACGCAUCGGCUGACUCCGUGCCAGCGGCAUCGGUAAUACGGAGCAUGCGAGCGUUAUCCGUAUUGAUUGGGUUUAUAGGGUGCGUGGGCGGUCCGUUGAGUCAGCGGUAAAAUUGCGGGGCUCAACCCCGUCGAGCCGUUGAAACUGGAAGACGUGAGUUGGCGAGAAGAACGCGGGAUGCGCGGUGUAGCGGUGAAAUGCAUAGAUAUCGCGCAGAACUCCGAUUGCGAAGGCAGCGUACCGGCGCCAGACUGACGCUGAGGCACGAAAGCGUGGGGAUCGAACAGGAUUAGAUACCCUUGUAGUC
Molecule: ribosomal RNA, 459 nt
Filed under: uncultured bacterium
Lineage: Bacteria
Description: partial 16S ribosomal RNA
Rfam family: Bacterial small subunit ribosomal RNA
Source: RNAcentral